RNAcentral lists this ribosomal RNA (433 nucleotides) under uncultured bacterium. RNAcentral describes it as "partial 16S ribosomal RNA". It matches the Rfam family "Bacterial small subunit ribosomal RNA", at positions 29 to 507 of the family's 1533-position model. The record is from RNAcentral.
AACGAACGCUGGCGGCUUGCCUAACCCAUGCAAUUCGAACGAGACCUUCGGUUCUGGUGGCGCACGGUUGCUUACCGCGUGGGAACCUGCCCUUAGUUUCGGAUUACCUCCCCGAAAGGGUUCCUAAUACCGGUUAUUUUCUUCGGCCCAAAGAUUUAUCGCUUUUGGAUGGGCCCGCGUUGGAUUAGCUAGUUGGUAGGGUAAAAGCCUACCAAGGCGACGAUCCAUAGCUGGUCUGAGAGGAUGAUCAGCCACACUGGGACUGAGACACGGCCCAGACUCCUACGGGAGGCAGCAGUGGGGAAUAUUGGACAAUGGGCGAAAGCCUGAUCCAGCAAUGCCGCGUGAGUGAUGAAGGCCUUAGGGUUGUAAAGCUCUUUUACCCGGGAUGAUAAUGACAGUACCGGGAGAAUAAGCUCCGGCUAACUCCGUG